AGAGUUUUGAUCCUGGCUCAGGAUGAACGCUAGCGGCAGGCUUAAUACAUGCAAGGCGAGGGCACAGCAAUGUGACCGUCGAACGGGUGCGUAACGCGUAUGCAACCUACCUAUCACUGGGGGAUAGCCCGGGGAAACCCGGAUUAAUACCGCAUAACACAGGGGCUCCACAUGGGGAUAUUUGUUAAAGAUUUAUCGGUGGUAGAUGGGCAUGCGUUCGAUUAGUUAGUUGGUAUGGGUAACGGCCUACCAAGACGAUGAUCGAUAGGGGAGCUGAGAGGUUGAUCCCCCACACGGGCACUGAGAUACGGGCCCGACUCCUACGGGAGGCAGCAGUAGGGAAUAUUGGGCAAUGGAUGCAAGUCUGACCCAGCCAUGCCGCGUGCAGGAUGAAGGCGCUCAGCGUUGUAAACUGCUUUUAUUCGGGAAGAAGAGCGAGGGUGCGCCCUUGCGUGACGGUACCGAAUGAAUAAGCACCGGCUAACUCCGUG
This 491-nucleotide ribosomal RNA is filed under the name uncultured Dyadobacter sp. RNAcentral's name for it is "bacterial SSU rRNA". It matches the Rfam family "Bacterial small subunit ribosomal RNA", at positions 8 to 507 of the family's 1533-position model. Lineage: Bacteria; Pseudomonadati; Bacteroidota; Cytophagia; Cytophagales; Spirosomataceae. The record is from RNAcentral.